This 468-nucleotide ribosomal RNA is filed under the name uncultured bacterium. Its description in RNAcentral is "partial 16S ribosomal RNA". It matches the Rfam family "Bacterial small subunit ribosomal RNA", at positions 28 to 507 of the family's 1533-position model. The record is from RNAcentral.
GACGAACGCUGGCGGCGUGCUUAACACAUGCAAGUCGAACGGAAAGGCCCUGCUUUUGUGGGGUGCUCGAGUGGCGAACGGGUGCGUAACACGUGAGUAACCUGCCCUUGACUUUGGUAUAACUUCAGGAAACUGGGGCUACUACCGUAUAGCAGCUCCUGCUGCAUGGUGGGGGUUGGAAAGUUCCGGCGGUUGGGGAUGGACUCGCCGCUUAUCAGCUUGUUGGUGGGGUAGUGGCUUACCAAGGCCUUGACGGGUAGCCGGCCUGGGAGGGUGACCGGCCACAAUGGGACUGAGGUACGGUGCAGACUGCUACGGGAGACAGCAGUGGAGAAUAUUGUACAAUGGGAGGGAGCCUGAUGCAGAAACGCCGCGUGCGGGAUGACGGCCUUCGGGGUGUGAACCGCUUUCGCCUGUGACGAAGCGGGAGUGACGGUAAUGGGUAAAGAAGCACCGGCUAACUACGUG